UAGGGAAUCUUCGGCAAUGGGGGCAACCCUGACCGAGCAACGCCGCGUGAGUGAAGAAGGUUUUCGGAUCGUAAAGCUCUGUUGUAAGAGAAGAACGUGUGUGAGAGUGGAAAGUUCACACAGUGACGGUAACUUACCAGAAAGGGACGGCUAACUACGUGCCCGA
RNAcentral lists this ribosomal RNA (166 nucleotides) under uncultured bacterium. RNAcentral's name for it is "partial 16S rRNA". It matches the Rfam family "Bacterial small subunit ribosomal RNA", at positions 355 to 512 of the family's 1533-position model. The record is from RNAcentral.